Molecule: transfer RNA, 73 nt
Filed under: Stegodyphus mimosarum
Lineage: Eukaryota; Metazoa; Arthropoda; Arachnida; Araneae; Eresidae
Rfam family: tRNA
About the family: Transfer RNA (tRNA) molecules are approximately 80 nucleotides in length. Their secondary structure includes four short double-helical elements and three loops (D, anti-codon, and T loops). Further hydrogen bonds mediate the characteristic L-shaped molecular structure. tRNAs have two regions of fundamental functional importance: the anti-codon, which is responsible for specific mRNA codon recognition, and the 3' end, to which the tRNAs corresponding amino acid is attached (by aminoacyl-tRNA synthetases). tRNAs cope with the degeneracy of the genetic code in two manners: having more than one tRNA (with a specific anti-codon) for a particular amino acid; and 'wobble' base-pairing, i.e. permitting non-standard base-pairing at the 3rd anti-codon position.
Source: Rfam by way of RNAcentral
GCCUGUGUAGUGUAGUGGUCAGCACGCUCGACGCGCAUUCUAGAGGCUCGUGGUUCGAGUCCCGGCGAGGGUA